CCUACGGGCGGCAGCAGUGGGGAAUAUUGGACAAUGGGCGAAAGCCUGAUCCAGCCAUGCCGCGUGUGUGAAGAAGGCCUUCGGGUUGUAAAGCACUUUCAGUGGGGAAGAAAGCCUUGGGGCUAAUACCCUCGAGGAAGGACAUCACCCACAGAAGAAGCACCGGCUAACUCCGUGCCAGCAGCCGCGGUAAUACGGAGGGGGCGAGCGUUAAUCGGAAUUACUGGGCGUAAAGCGCGCGUAGGCGGUCUGAUAAGCCGGUUGUGAAAGCCCCGGGCUCAACCUGGGAACGGCAUCCGGAACUGUCAGGCUAGAGUGCAGGAGAGGAAGGUAGAAUUCCCGGUGUAGCGGUGAAAUGCGUAGAGAUCGGGAGGAAUACCAGUGGCGAAGGCGGCCUUCUGGACUGACACUGACGCUGAGGUGCGAAAGCGUGGGUAGCAAACAGGAUUAGAUACCCCGGUAGUC
This 465-nucleotide ribosomal RNA is filed under the name Vreelandella stevensii. RNAcentral's name for it is "partial 16S ribosomal RNA". It matches the Rfam family "Bacterial small subunit ribosomal RNA", at positions 338 to 795 of the family's 1533-position model. Lineage: Bacteria; Pseudomonadati; Pseudomonadota; Gammaproteobacteria; Oceanospirillales; Halomonadaceae. The record is from RNAcentral.